UUUCGGAGCCAGACCUUCGCUCCGGGUUCAUUGAAUCAAGGAGAGGAAAGUCCGGACACCAUCGGGCAGGAUUCCGUGUGAAAGCACGGGCGCGGCGCUGGAAGGCGACGCGACGGAAAGUGUCACAGAAAAUUAGACCGCCCGGCGGGCAACCGUCGGGUAAGGGUGAAAAGGUGGGGUAAGAGCCCACCGCGUCUUCGCGUAAGCGGGACGGCACGAAAAACCCAAUCCGGUGCAAGGCAACAUAGGCGGCUGGGCGGCCCGUCCGAUAGCCGCGGGUAUGCUGCAUCCGCUGGAGUGACUGCGCAAGCAGGAGCAAGAGCGGGCAACAUCGCCUCGUGCGGUGUUGAGAGAAAUGAAGGUCACCCCGAUUCGUCGGGGCACAAAAUCCGGCUUACGGUUCCGAAACUAG
This 412-nucleotide RNase P RNA is filed under the name Candidatus Didemnitutus sp. RNAcentral's name for it is "RNase P RNA component class A". It matches the Rfam family "Bacterial RNase P class A". Rfam says of the family: Ribonuclease P (RNase P) is a ubiquitous endoribonuclease, found in archaea, bacteria and eukarya as well as chloroplasts and mitochondria. Its best characterised activity is the generation of mature 5'-ends of tRNAs by cleaving the 5'-leader elements of precursor-tRNAs. The record is from RNAcentral. Lineage: Bacteria; Pseudomonadati; Verrucomicrobiota; Opitutia; Opitutales; Opitutaceae.